Molecule: long non-coding RNA, 716 nt
Organism: Aphis gossypii (cotton aphid)
Lineage: Eukaryota; Metazoa; Arthropoda; Insecta; Hemiptera; Aphididae
Exons: 5
Source: RefSeq, a predicted model, not a curated record
AUAUAACACAUUUUCAAGCCAAUAAUAAAUGUCCAUAAUACGAAAUUAUUAUAGGUGAUAAUCGCGAUCGCAAAUUUGUCAUUAUACCACAAGAUGUUAUUGUGAUCCAAAAUCUAAGAACUCAACGACUUGGAGAGAUGAUAAAUCGUACACUGUUUUGGUACGAUGAAACACGCCGAGGCGAGAUCCAACUACUGGGAGGACUUAUAUACUUAUAGGACUUACAUUAUCAUCAUCAGCGGUGAUACUCAGCACGGCUUGAACACCAAUGCAUUAUACCAAUAUCGAUUUAUUUUAAAUAAUAAUUCAUACACGUUUAUGGUAAUAUGCAGGCGUUAAGGGCAUACAAUAUUGAUACGCUACUGGAGAAGUUAAAAUCUGCUCGUUAGAAUUUCCAUUUAAUUGUAACCACAGUUUCAAAAAAAAAAAAAAUCCUUUACUAAACAAUUUUGUCAAAAGAGAAAGAACUCACAAAAGAAUAGCUCACCUUGGAACAAAACUAGUAGUUGAUCGUCACAAGAUACAAAACACUCCUAGCCUUACCUUGUUUGGGUUUAACUUAUACAAAUGUCUAUGUAUCUAAAAAUGCAGUUUUAAAAAGAAUAGGUGGUGGGUACGUUUGGUGAAUCACCCACAGUAAUAUUAUUAUCGUUACACCGCUGAAUGUAAGACGAGUUGUAUGGGUACUCACCGAAAUUCACGUACCUAAUGCACUU